GACGAACGCUGGCGGCGUGCUUAACACAUGCAAGUCGAACGGAAAGGCCCUGCUUUUGUGGGGUGCUCGAGUGGCGAACGGGUGAGUAACACGUGAGUAACCUGCCCUUGACUUUGGGAUAACUUCAGGAAUCUGGGGCUAAUACCGGAUAGGAGCUCCUGCUGCAUGGUGGGGGUUGGAAAGUUUCGGCGGUUGGGGAUGGACUCGCGGCUUAUCAGCUUGUUGGUGGGGUAGUGGCUUACCAAGGCUUUGACGGGUAGCCGGCCUGAGAGGGUGACCGGCCACAUUGGGACUGAGAUACGGCCCAGACUCCUACGGGAGGCAGCAGUGGGGAAUAUUGCACAAUGGGCGGAAGCCUGAUGCAGCAACGCCGCGUGCGGGAUGACGGCCUUCGGGUUGUAAACCGCUUUCGCCUGUGACGAAGCGUGAGUGACGGUAAUGGGUAAAGAAGCACCGGCUAACUACGUGCCAGCAGCCGCGGUGAUACGUAGGGUGCGAGCGUUGUCCGGAUUUAUUGGGCGUAAAGGGCUCGUAGGUGGUUGAUCGCGUCGGAAGUGUAAUCUUGGGGCUUAACCCUGAGCGUGCUUUCGAUACGGGUUGACUUGAGGAAGGUAGGGGAGAAUGGAAUUCCUGGUGGAGCGGUGGAAUGCGCAGAUAUCAGGAGGAACACCAGUGGCGAAGGCGGUUCUCUGGGCCUUUCCUGACGCUGAGGAGCGAAAGCGUGGGGAGCGAACAGGCUUAGAUACCCUGGUAGUCCACGCUGUAAACGGUGGGUACUAGGUGUGGGGUCCAUUCCACGGGUUCCGUGCCGUAGCUAACGCUUUAAGUACCCCGCCUGGGGAGUACGGCCGCAAGGCUAAAACUCAAAGGAAUUGACGGGGCCCCGCACAAGCGGCGGAGCAUGCGGAUUAAUUCGAUGCAACGCGUAGAACCUUACCUGGGUUUGACAUGGAUCGGGAGUGCUCAGAGAUGGGUGUGCCUCUUUUGGGGUCGGUUCACAGGUGGUGCAUGGCUGUCGUCAGCUCGUGUCGUGAGAUGUUGGGUUAAGUCCCGCAACGAGCGCAACCCUUGUUCACUGUUGCCAGCACGUUAUGGUGGGGACUCAGUGGAGACCGCCGGGGUCAACUCGGAGGAAGGUGGGGAUGACGUCAAGUCAUCAUGCCCCUUAUGUCCAGGGCUUCACGCAUGCUACAAUGGCUGGUACAGAGAGUGGCGAGCCUGUGAGGGUGAGCGAAUCUCGGAAAGCCGGUCUCAGUUCGGAUUGGGGUCUGCAACUCGACCUCAUGAAGUCGGAGUCGCUAGUAAUCGCAGAUCAGCAACGCUGCGGUGAAUACGUUCCCGGG
This 1343-nucleotide ribosomal RNA is filed under the name uncultured bacterium. RNAcentral describes it as "16S ribosomal RNA". It matches the Rfam family "Bacterial small subunit ribosomal RNA", at positions 28 to 1378 of the family's 1533-position model. The record is from RNAcentral.